ACUGCUCUUUCACCCGCAUGUGUUAUUAACAGAUUGUGUUUGAGUUUAUGGUGAAUCUGUGUCGCUCACCUUCAUCUCCCGGGAGCUGCUGAAAUUGCCAUUUUGAAUGCUUUAUGUUAAUGUAAUGUAGUUUUCAGUUUUUUGUUUACUUCAACUUAAGACAUUUUCUGCUGCGCUCACAAAAAUUAAGAGAUUUAAAGAUGAUUGAUGGACACCAUUGCAGGUGUAGCCAUGUUUUUCCAAUAAAAAAUAAUGUUGGAAUGGAAGCGAUGCAUUGGGUGUUUUUUUAAAUGCUAGAUACAGGGCAGAAUGGCGAGUAGAGAUUCAGCCUCAGGGGGACCUCCGCCCUACCAAACCACUGAACCCCCCUUUGGAGAAGGAGUGAACCCCUGAAGCUUACAACUCGGCUGUCCGUCAUCUACAGACUGGAAGCAAUCAAGAUGUCAAAGGUGUCAAGAAAUGGCUGAGCAAACAUUUCUACGCAGUGCCAUCAAUGAGAUGUUGCCUGACCUUCCAGAGGCUUCAAAAGACAUUCUUGAGGAGACAUUACAGUCGAUUGGAGUGGAAACAUAUGAUGACUUCCAGUUCAUUGUUGAGGAAGACUUGCUGUCAGCAUUAAGACCAGAAAAGCACUUGCUGCUUGGAAAUUCAGAUGCCAGACUCCUGAAACCAGCAGGUCCUCAAGUAAUACUUCGCCAGAUACUCCUGCGUCACUGCAGUCUUUGUCCCCGCUAAGUGUGUCAUCAAACUCCUCCAGCAGCAACCAGACAUCUGAAGCAGACUGGGUGGAUACCUUUGAGAUACCAUGGGAAAAGUUCUCAGAGGAACUGAUGCAGUCAUUAGAGAGAGGAAAACGGCCAAGUCCAAAGAUUAGGAGGGAGAUGGUCAGGAUUGUGGUGUCUGAAAUGAUGCGAAAAAGUUCUUGCUUAGGUAAAAGGAGUUCUACAGAAGUUGCAAAGAAGAUGGUGGCAAAAUAUCCAAAAUCUCUACAAGAUGUAAUUGGCCCUGGCUAUCACUCACUAAUCAAACAACUGCAAUAUCGAAUUGAGAAUGUGAAGUGAUCUACAAUUCCAAAAAUAAGAAAGCAAAAGUGCUGCUUUGAAAACUCUGACACAGAUGAAAUUCCUCCAGAACAGAGAGCUGCAAUUCAGGACACCUAUGGGUGUAUCAGCUGGGAUGCAAAAUGCCUGCCACUAGGAGAAACUGCAGAAAGUCAGCAGCAGAAGGAGGACAAGCUCAAGAUGAUGUGUUGGCAGAAGGAGGCAAAUCCUGAGAAGAUGAAAUGAUUAACGAGGGCAACUUUCUACACACAGCACAAAGAUGUUAACCAGGGGAAAAGCAUUCGAGAUGUCUUGGAAGAGUGGCCACUUUUAUUUCAAGACAUUGGGAUGGCUGUACACUAUAAGGAACUCACUGGACUUGGACUGAAGGAAACCUUCAUGCGGAACAUGGAUAUGAAGGGGAAAAGACUGCUGAACUACAUGAACACUGUGUGAACAAAAACAAAAGGGUUUUCCAGGCUCAAGCAAAGUUGAAGAUGGUAAGGGGAGAGCUGGACGGUUACUCUGAAGAUGUUAAAGAGACGGUGCUACUUCAAUGAAAAGGAGGAAGCAAUGUUCUUCUGUGUGGAGGACACAUGCCUAGCUGAAGAAGUACAGAUGGAUAAUGUCUCCUUGACUCCCACCAUCAUCGUGUGUGGGCAAUUCUGCUUCCAUGCUAGACGGUUCAUGCUGAGUGUGGAUCAACAGAUUGGACACAACAAGAUCUCCUGCUUCAUUUCUGCCCUUUGCAUGAUGUUUGGGAGCUAUUAUUGCUUCAACAUUCAUUACCCAUCGGGUCUUGCGUCCACACUGGAGUUUCUGCAGAGGUAUGAGAUUUACCAAAAAAACCCAAAACAAUUAUUGUAGAAGAAAAGGAUGUAUUUACUUUUACAGAUGUAACCGGCAGAAUGGAGUAGCUGUAAGUGGGAGACUUUUACUUUGACGCUCAUAGAGAGCCUUUGAAAUCUCACGUUGGGUCCCAAAGUAUCGUUUGGUCUCAUUAGCGGUUUGCAGUACAUGAAUUGUAGCAUUCGCCAGGGCACCAUCGUCAAGUUGGCUGGUGAGGUCUAGAAGUCUGCAGUUACACUACGAGUGAAACUUUUGAAGCUUUGAAAUAUCACUCCAACAGUGAGGCGAAAUUACUAGCCUUCAACGUGCAUGGUUGUUGGUGAGUAGGCUAUGUAAUUUGAUUAAGGGUUUUGUAAGAUCUGAGUUGGUGAAUGCGGGACUGAUGACCGUAAUUGUUUAGGUAUAGCUGGUAUCCGAGAGAAGCCAAUAAGACGUAUGCGGUGUGCCCUCGGUGGUUUGUGUGGUCAGGUAUGCACACGCACACCACACACACACACCUUCACGCACAUUGAUGCUGUGUCAGUACGACAUUGUUUGUGUUAGGCAGUAAACCUUGCCAAAAUUGAACUGCGUUGUAGAUGCAAGCCGUACCAGCGGGGAAGUUGGGCCGGGAGCUGGAGUAAGCUAAUUGGCACGACGCCACCAUAGCGCAGGUAGGCCACGAGCCUUAAGAAAAAAACUUAACAUUUAGCACAUUCAGGACACAUUCUUUUGUAUUCAUUGUAUCAAUGUGUGUUUUAGGACGGUGUACAGUGGUGGCAGAACGUUAAUAGUCACUGUUUUGCUUUUAUUUGUUUUAUGUUUUUAUUAUUUUGUUGUUUUCUUGGAUCGUGCCGGUUUCCUUGGUUAGGAAUUUUACUGAGUGCCCAUCUAGCCUUGGCAUAUGCAGCUGCUCUAUACUACCCUUCUUUGUGAUUUUCUUUAUCCCUGUACUCUAAGCCAAGUUGCAUGUGUUUUGUGUUGACCAACCAAAUUAUUGGUGUUGCUUUUAUAAUAAAAAGAGAAUAUUAAAGAUUAAAAUUUUAUACUUUUAAACCUAUUUUUUAAUAAAGAAGUUGUACUUUCUCA
This is a long non-coding RNA of Neoarius graeffei (lesser salmon catfish), 2957 nucleotides long. RefSeq lists it as uncharacterized. The transcript is spliced from 6 exons. NCBI's taxonomy places the organism in Eukaryota, Metazoa, Chordata, Actinopteri, Siluriformes, Ariidae. The record is from RefSeq and is a predicted model, not a curated record.